AUGAUUACAAAUGCCCAAAAAAGUGGCCUAUUAGUGGGUCUUGCUUCUGAUCUGAUACCUAAUGGGGUGGCAGUUCUUCAAUACGCUGACGAUACUAUUAUCUGCCUAGAACAUGACAUUGACAAAGCAGUCAACUUGAAGAUGCUUCUUUACAUGUUUGAAUUGAUGUCGGGGCUUAAGGUGAAUUUUCAAAAAAGUGAGAUUCUUACUGUGGGGGGUGAUGAGAAUGUGGUGAAUAUGUAUGCGGACCUGUUUAACUGUGAGGUGGGCAGCUUCCCUAUUAAGUACUUGGGGAUGCCUGUUAGCUACACCAAUCUCAGAAACUCAGACUAG
Molecule: ribosomal RNA, 333 nt
Filed under: Triticum aestivum (bread wheat)
Lineage: Eukaryota; Viridiplantae; Streptophyta; Magnoliopsida; Poales; Poaceae
Description: partial small subunit ribosomal RNA
Source: RNAcentral